GACGAACCGUGCGAACGUUAUUCGGAAUCACUGGGCUUAAAGGGCGCGUAGGCGGGUCAUCAAGUCCGGGGUGAAAUCCCACGGCCCAACCGUGGAAGUGCCUUGGAUACUGAAGAUCUCGAGGGGGAUAGGGGCGUGCGGAACUCAGGGUGGAGCGGUGAAAUGCGUAGAUAUCCUGAGGAACACCGGUGGCGAAAGCGGCGCGCUGGAUCCCUUCUGACGCUGAGGCGCGAAAGCCAGGGGAGCAAACGGG
This 253-nucleotide ribosomal RNA is filed under the name uncultured bacterium. RNAcentral describes it as "partial 16S ribosomal RNA". It matches the Rfam family "Bacterial small subunit ribosomal RNA", at positions 524 to 776 of the family's 1533-position model. The record is from RNAcentral.